GGAAUGGUGCCUCCUCAUACUCCAGGAAGAGAUUCCACACUCCUGCUUGCAUGCCCGCGUGUCUGACUGUGCUCCUGUCUAUGGAGCACCAUAAGAAUAAUUUCUCUGAGACUCUGUUUUCUCAUCUGUAAAAUAAUUGGGCUGGACAAGAUCAUCAUCAUCUCUUCCAACUAGUUCCAAACAGCCUAGAAUUCUAAGCGCACCAGAUCUCUCUCGUCUGUUUUCCCCGAUAUAUCCUAUAUCCCUCCCUAUCCACCAACCCAAUACCAAUAUUUUAAUCAGGAUUGACAGGGGCAGACCAAUGCUCAUGUAUUUAGAUUCCAGGCCCCUCCCCAACAAGAUCACUUUACAGGGCAUCUUCCUCCAGCCUUUUCUGCCCAGAUUCAUCUCCAUAUGAGAGGCAGAUCCUUCCUCUCUCCCAAGCACUACAAGGACACUGAG
RNAcentral lists this long non-coding RNA (441 nucleotides) under Homo sapiens (human). RNAcentral describes it as "LHRI_LNC1312.1". The record is from RNAcentral. Lineage: Eukaryota; Metazoa; Chordata; Mammalia; Primates; Hominidae.